UACAGAGACUGCAGGCGUUGUCCGGAAUUACUGGGCGUAAAGAGCUCGUAGGUGGUUUGUCGCGUUGUUCGUGAAAACUCACAGCUCAACUGUGGGCGUGCGGGCGAUACGGGCAGACUAGAGUACUGCAGGGGAGACUGGAAUUCCUGGUGUAGCGGUGGAAUGCGCAGAUAUCCGGAGGAACACCGGUGGCGAAGGCGGGUCUCUGGGCCGUAACUGACGCUGAGGAGCGAAAGCGUGGGGAGCGAACAGG
This 253-nucleotide ribosomal RNA is filed under the name uncultured bacterium. RNAcentral describes it as "partial 16S ribosomal RNA". It matches the Rfam family "Bacterial small subunit ribosomal RNA", at positions 524 to 776 of the family's 1533-position model. The record is from RNAcentral.